Molecule: ribosomal RNA, 253 nt
Filed under: uncultured bacterium
Lineage: Bacteria
Description: partial 16S ribosomal RNA
Rfam family: Bacterial small subunit ribosomal RNA
Source: RNAcentral
UACGGAGGGAGCAAGCGUUGUUCGGCGUUACUGGGCGUAAAGCGCAUGUCGGCGGCCUGACAAGUCGGGUGUGAAAUCCCGGAGCUCAACUCCGGAACUGCAUCCGAUACUGUCAGGCUCGAGUCUCGGAGAGGAUGGCGGAAUUUCCGGUGUAGAGGUGAAAUUCGUAGAUAUCGGAAGGAACACCAGUGGCGAAGGCGGCCGUCUGGACGAUGACUGACGCUGAGAUGCGAAAGCGUGGGGAGCAAACAGG